GGGUUGCACAGACAACUAGGAUGUUGGCUUAGAAGCAGCCAUCAUUCAAAGAGUGCGUAAUAGCUCACUAGUCGAGUGACCCUGCGCCGAAAAUGUAACGGGGCUAAACAGAUUACCGAAGCUGUGGAUUGGACCUAUGGUCCAGUGGUAGGAGAGCGUUCUAAGGGCGGUGAAGCAUGAUCGUAAGGACAUGUGGAGCGCUUAGAAGUGAGAAUGCCGGUAUGAGUAGCGAAAGACUGGUGAGAAUC
Molecule: ribosomal RNA, 248 nt
Filed under: Streptococcus pneumoniae
Lineage: Bacteria; Bacillati; Bacillota; Bacilli; Lactobacillales; Streptococcaceae
Description: partial 23S ribosomal RNA
Rfam family: Bacterial large subunit ribosomal RNA
Source: RNAcentral